UCUCAGUUCGGAUUGGAGUCUGCAACCCGACUCCAUGAAGCUGGAUUCGCUAGUAAUCGCGCAUCAGCCACGGCGCGGUGAAUACGUUCCCGGGCCUUGUACACACCGCCCGUCAAGCCAUGGGAGCCGGGGGUACCUGAAGUGCGUGACCGCAAGGAGCGCCCUAAGGUAAAACCGGUGACUGGGCUAAGUCGUAACAAGGUACC
Molecule: ribosomal RNA, 206 nt
Filed under: uncultured bacterium
Lineage: Bacteria
Description: partial 16S ribosomal RNA
Rfam family: Bacterial small subunit ribosomal RNA
Source: RNAcentral